AGAGGAAGAGGAGGCACAGGAAAGAAGCUUUAAAAAAAGAAGAAAAAAAAAAAAGUGGGACCAUUACAAGAUCUUCCAGAAAAACAGCACAAGAAACUUCCUGCGGGCUCUCGUAUAAAAUAUGUCCAGAGAUGGUCUAACAAGGCUUUCACAACUGUCUUUCUAUGCAACAAGAAGCAAUUUUCAUUAUCAUCUGAUGCAAGGCAGCGCUACCCAACACUACAGGUGAAAACUGCUGGCCUU
Molecule: long non-coding RNA, 243 nt
Filed under: Calidris pugnax (ruff)
Lineage: Eukaryota; Metazoa; Chordata; Aves; Charadriiformes; Scolopacidae
Description: lncRNA (ENSCPUG00000011765.1)
Source: RNAcentral